RNAcentral lists this long non-coding RNA (222 nucleotides) under Mytilus galloprovincialis (Mediterranean mussel). Lineage: Eukaryota; Metazoa; Mollusca; Bivalvia; Mytilida; Mytilidae. The record is from RNAcentral.
GUGGAGUAAAGCAAAUACUUACCAGCCUGUCUAUAUAAGAGAAAAGUUGAAUCAAUAAUGCAUGAUUAAGACAAAUCUACCACUUCGUUUUUCCUGCAGGCAUGCACUUGUCUCAGAUUUCCUCCCUAUAUACCUUAAUAUUACAUAUUUUAAAGUAUAUAGGAAAUUUAUUUUGAGACAAGUGCCUGUGGUUUUCCCCCGGAAAAAAUUUCCUCAUUUUCA